AGAGAAAAUAAAGGCUAGCAGCCUCUUCAACUCUUUUUUUUAAUAUUACACAAGAAUGAAAUAACUCGGCCACAACAUUGUCAAAGAGAAAUAAUUUAUUCUCUUCUUAUCUAUUACUGAAUCUGCAGAUUGCUGUCACACCCACAGUGAUAAAUUGAUACCUAGUUCUCUGAUGGAAAGAAUUCAGGCAGAGAGAAUGAACUGCCUGUUAGGAGAGGAGCUCUUAUCUAGAUGUGGAGCCUCAGCUGAAAAUGAAUUAAUAACUUGUUGAGAAAAAAAAAAAAUAAAAAGCACUUCGGUUCUUACACAUCAAAAAGUUUUUUCAACAAGUGGAUCACAACUAAAGCUGAAGAUCAUCAAAAGGCAGCCACACAGCAUUGUGGAAGACUCUGUAUUUGAGGUUUGCCAAAGACCUCCUUGUGUGGUCUUGAGAUCCCCUGAACGCUGAUAAAAAUCAUUUUAAAACUGUGAUAAUAUCUAAUGUCUUUGUCUCUGGAAGUGCACUUAGUACUGAAAGGCAGAAAUGGAAAUCUUGAUCAUAAAAAUCUAGAAUGAGUAAAAUCUGGAUAAAAGAUACAAACUUUUGCUUGGUACCUGAUUUAAUUUUAAUUUCCAUGUAGUAUCAAUAAAAUAAAACUUUUAUCUCCAGCUUGACACAACAUAUUUUUGAGUGCAGUGAAGGCAUCCUAAUGGUAUGCUCUCACAAGCCCGUUAGCACAUCUUAAUUGUGUGUCAGUCAAAGGGCAGUGGCAGGAUGUGCUUGUGGUCCCAGCCCACGGCAAACAGGCAGCUGAACCAAUCCUCAUGGGUGACUGCUCACAAACCCAGCUUCUUUUGCAUUUGCAACAGGCCAGGAACAUGCCUGGAGCAGUCAGGCCCUACCAGAUCACUGAAAGCCAGUAAUAACUUGCAAUCAAGAAGGCAAAUGGAAUUAGAAAUUGAAGCCUGAAGAGCUACUGAUUCUUUCACCAGUGGAUUUAGGGGGGGAAAUGAUAAAAACAGAGUGGUGAUAGAGCUCUCAAGAUGUCACUGACUCACCUUGCACUGAAACUGUUCCCCACAGAGGGCUGUUUAUCCUGACUGCAGAUCCCAGUGAAGAAGAACCUGCAGUACCCCGUGGUCAUCUGAUGUCACUCAUUGACCAUACACUGCUAAGCAGAGUGUGGUGUUUGCUGAAAAGCACUCUCCAUUUGGUCAUUUGGCAUAAACUCACCAAGGGAGAUGAAUAAUUGGAUUAUUCAUUUGGGAAAUCGGCCACUAUGGAAACAAACACCCACCUCUCCUCCCCCUCCCUGCCCUGGGCGAGCUGCCCUCAGAACAUGCCAUAGCCAGAGGUUCCUCCCGAGCACAGUGACGUGCACUGGGAUGCACACAGGAGGGCUCUCCGCAGGGAAACCCGAGCAGGAUGGUCCAGAGGAAGGCACAGAUAAAGACUGAAUCUUCUUGCAAAGUGCAGAUCUUGGAUCUUCUUGCAAAGCCUCCAAGAGGCUCGAGAAAACAGGAUGAAAUGAACUGGUCACAUAGUAUUUUGAAAAUUGUGUGAGAAAAAUAUUAAAACAAUGGCAACAAGAAUAAAAAGUAUUUGUUCAUUCAUUUCAUUUCUUUAAAUGGGUGAAUUUGCAAGUCCAUUGCAGUCACUGACAAAAUUCCUGUUGAUGGUAACUAUGCCAGAAUUUCACCAACUGCACUUAUCCCCUAAAUGCGUGUUUUAGCAACUCACCAAAACUAAUGCAAUAAGACUUUUAAGUACAGCUCUUUCCACUGAGACACAUCACAACCCACCCAAAACUAUCUUCAAAGAGAUAAAGGUAAAUCUUUGUCAUUCCUUAAUUCAGGCUAUGUUUAAUUUCAAAAAUUAACUCUUGCAUGCUUAGCCAUGCAUGCUCAGGGUCCACAUAUAAUCCUUAGAAAUUACAUAACACUUCAUUUGAAGUGAACUUAAAUUAAAUGAGGAAAAAAUAACUCUUGCCUGUGGAUGAAAGUAAUUGUCAAUUCUCAGGUAAACAUUAUAUUGUCAGCCUGGCAUUUGAGACCCUUUGCACCAAGAUUCAUCAUGGAUCUGAACCCCUAAAUUUGGGUGUUGCUUAUUAAAAAUAAAAACUAUAAUAUCAUCUUAUAUUAACUCUCCAGUUACCUGUUUAGAAAUCAUUUUGGUGGAGAUGUCCCAAUGAGAAAAACAGAAAGAAUGACACUGUAAUCAAACACCAAAUCAUUAGCAGAGAGAAUGCAAAUACCAGCACACUUCUUUUAGGUCUUACAUGAAUCUAAAGAGCAGAAUAGCCUCAGCAUCUCCCAGACUGGAAGAGCAGCAAUUGCCUCUGAAAGCUGUUUAGAGCUGGUAUUUUUAUAUUCUUUACUGCACUGUAAUUAAAUGCUGUAACCAUUGGAAAGCAAGGUUACCAAUGCUGAACUGGAAAAGAGUUCUAUUUCUAUUGAAUUUUAUUUGGUUUUAUUUAAAAUUCCAUAAAUUAUUCAUUUUUCUAAUCCAACAAAGUGUUUACUUUUAUUUAAAUAUUUUAAAUUAGUUUUAUUUUUAUUGCCAUUUAAAGCAUGAGCCUGUUAAAGAUAGUGGGGUUUUAUGAUUAAAUUUUGUAAUUCAGCCUUUUAAAAAUUAUAUGCACAGCUCCAUACAUUUGGUAGAUUUGUCUUGAGACAUUUUCCUAGAAAACUCAGAAAUUUAUUAUUAAAGCUACUUCAUUUAUUUUUAGUGCUGUGGUCUUUAGACUGAUGGGAAUGGAGUUAAAAAUAGAUAAUUCCACAUUUCUUCUACAAUUUCAAUCUUUCACAGUUAUUGUAACAAUGACAAUUGGAUAUGUAAUGAAAUAUAAAGAAAUAUGCAAAAAAACCACAGAAACAUAUUUGCCCUAUGCAUUCACAAAUAGGUAGGGGAAGUCCAGAUACCAAACCCACCUGUCUUGCCAGCAUCCAUUUAGAUAUAAAUAUCUACUUUUUUUCAUGGUGGUUCCAUCAGAACAGAUUAGCAUAUAUCCCUUGGGAGAGCAGGGUUAUAAACUGCAGUCGUAUUCCUGUCUAUGAAACCUCUGAAUAAUGCAUGUAAUUUGUGACUCAUAUGCCAAGAAUCCCAAUUCAAUGUACCUAUCAGCAGUACUAAGUGUUCUAAUCUUUUUUAAUAAAUGAAUGAAAUGUUAUUAGUCAGUAAUUUAACAGUUAUAAGAUUCUCAAAAGCACAAAAAUUUUAUACAUACAUUUUUAUAUAUAUUUUUAUAGAUUUUUUUAUCUAUAUAUAUAAACGUGUAGAAAUGGAGGACUCAGUGGGGCAGAGUCUGAAAAUCCUUCCCUAACCUUGUGCAUGUGGCUAAUUUUUCUGCUCCUCAGUUUUUCAGGUACAAUAAGCUCAUCAUCAUUCUCUGCCUUGGAGAAGUGUUGUGAUGACAAAACAUGUUUAUUUGAGAGAUUUGCAUGUACAAUGAUGAAGGCAGCCAUAAAAAUAAGUAGGCAGAUAGAAGUGAUUCACUGGCUGAAAUAAAAUGAUGCUUGUUAAAUUAAUUUCAAAUUUUGUAUUCUUGUCUGUGUAUAGAGACCUAUGGUAUGGGAAAUAAACCAUGGCUUUACUGCUGAGGAGUUGACCUGAAAAGAAAUAAUUGACAUCUUUUUCUGACUUCCAUUUUUCUGCUCAUCUUCUUUGAUCUCAAUCACUUGACUUAAUUUUUCCAUGUCCCUUUGGAAAUUUUGAAAUUGUUUCCACCCCAUCCUCUCCUCCCAAACGAAAUGUCUGGAGAGAUGUGUGGGCACGGGCUGCUCAGAGAGCUGGGUGUAGAGCAGGAUGGAGCAGGACAAGGCUGUGAGCCUUGGGAGGAGCAGGGCUGUGCCCCA
This is a long non-coding RNA of Prinia subflava (tawny-flanked prinia), 3834 nucleotides long. RefSeq lists it as uncharacterized. The transcript has 3 exons. The record is from RefSeq and is a predicted model, not a curated record. Lineage: Eukaryota; Metazoa; Chordata; Aves; Passeriformes; Cisticolidae.